This 263-nucleotide unclassified non-coding RNA is filed under the name plant metagenome. RNAcentral's name for it is "partial contains small subunit ribosomal RNA, internal transcribed spacer 1, and 5.8S ribosomal RNA". The record is from RNAcentral.
UUUCUGUAGGUGAACCUGCGGAAGGAUCAUUAUUGUAUAACCGAGGUGCGAGGGCUGUCGCUGACCCGAAAGGUCGUGCACGCCCGAGUGCCCUCACACACAUCCAUCUCACCCCUAUGUGCACCACCGCGUGGGUCCCCCAUUGGCUUGUUCGGAGGGGGGCUUACGUUUUCACACAAACUUUGUAUGCAGUGUAGAAUGUAUUUUUUGUUUUUGCGAUCACGCAAUCAAUACAACUUUCAACAACGGAUCUCUUGGCUCUC